UAGUGCAAGUUGAAUCGUCGACA
This 23-nucleotide non-coding RNA is filed under the name Arabidopsis thaliana (thale cress). Lineage: Eukaryota; Viridiplantae; Streptophyta; Magnoliopsida; Brassicales; Brassicaceae. The record is from RNAcentral.